UGCGCAUGCGUGCGGGGCUGCUAGUUUCGGUUCCCGGCGGCCGCCGCUGGCGGGUGGCGGUUACGGGAAGAGAGCGGGGGGGCCGCGGAGGGCGAGGGCGAGCCCGGCCGUUCUGGUGGCGGGGGGCGUCCCGACAUGGCGUGUCCGGCGCCAGCCGGGUCUCGAAGCGCGGUGGCCGUGAGGGAGGGCUGGCCGGCCGCCCCUCCCCCCCCCCCGUGCUGGGUGUGAGGGGAGGUUUCCCGCUCCCGCCCUCGCGGUGCGAGGCGGUUGAGGUUUGGUACGGGUUGGUGCAACGAGUGCUAAUGGUGGUGUUUAAGCUUAUAAUGAUUGACAAGAAGUCCCUCAGUGACGGACAGCCAGGUUGACAUUGCUGGAAUUUAUCAGACAUCUGUCACUCUCCACCUCACUGCAUACAAUUCUUUGUUGUGGAUCUGCGAGGAAAAUAAAAGUGGAGUCUGGAGACUUUUUUUCA
Molecule: long non-coding RNA, 472 nt
Filed under: Apteryx rowi (Okarito brown kiwi)
Lineage: Eukaryota; Metazoa; Chordata; Aves; Apterygiformes; Apterygidae
Description: lncRNA (ENSARWG00000007359.1)
Source: RNAcentral